Paramuricea clavata is the source of this 250-nucleotide non-coding RNA. The record is from the annotation of a GenBank genome assembly. NCBI's taxonomy places the organism in Eukaryota, Metazoa, Cnidaria, Anthozoa, Malacalcyonacea, Plexauridae.
AAAGAAGCUAUAUACAUCAAAAACUGGAUACUAAUGGCUGUUUUGCGAAAUUGAGAGCAAUUUCAAAUCUGUUCAGCUUUUUUUUAUACACCCUGCAUGUAUAUAAAGCAAAAUAUUAAAGCUUAUUCAUGUCAAAACGAAAGCUGUUUAUAAAAUGUUUAUGUGGUGAACACUACUAAACAGUGCUCAGAAAGACAUAUAUAUAUAUAGGCCUAUAUAUAUUGACAUAUUAUCGUUUGACUUAUCUUUG